Long non-coding RNA from Motacilla alba alba, 370 nucleotides. RefSeq lists it as uncharacterized. Lineage: Eukaryota; Metazoa; Chordata; Aves; Passeriformes; Motacillidae. The record is from RefSeq and is a predicted model, not a curated record. The transcript has 2 exons.
CAGGAAAUGCAGCUCGAUGCAGGCGCCGAGGGGGAUUCUGCAGGUUUCUUGGCUGCAGCUCGCCUGCAAAACGGAUUGGAAGAUGUUCAUCAGUCAGUCUGUGCUGCAAAAUUAACUGGGUUUGAGACCCUGAAAUUCCCAAGCAAGACAUCCACUCACUUCUGGCUGGUGGACCCACCUGAUGAUGUCCCCACCUCCGGAUGUCCCCUGCCCUCCCUGGCUGUGCGGUGCCCAGCGGGGGUGACAGCAGCAGUGGCAGCUGCUCCUGCUGGGUGCUGCUGGGCUGCAGCCCUGUGGUGCCAGCCCCGGUGUCUUUGGGCCAGGGGCUGCUUUUCCCGGCUUGAAUAAAGACGAGCACUUUGGCAUUGCA